GCGUCUCUUGCAGUAGUUCUGAGAUUCAGCUGUGUGCUUGGAAUUCAGCUACUGCAGCUGGCUUGUCCCUACAUGUAGGGUGAAAAGAACCACGUGUCUGGUUCUUCUCCUGCCAGUACAUAGCCUCUCCACCACAAAGACCCCUGCAGUGCCUCCACGUGGCCACACACGGAAACUGGGUACUUUAUUGAUCCAGGCCAAACUGCGGGGGAUCUCGGAGCAACAGUGGGCCCCAGAGACGAAGUGCAAUACCCCACAAUAUGUGGACAUUUCUUGGCACUCGUCAACCACUGUCCCAGCUAUGGGAAGUCCAGCGGACGACCCGGACAUGUUGUAGGGAGUUUGCCUCUCCGUUGGUAGCAGAGCUGGAGGAGGUGUCCAUGGAGACGGAAGUCUGGGACUCUUAGCUGAGACCUCUGCCCCCGAGAAGCGCUUCCUGAAUGGAGUCAAAGACGACGAUUUUCAAGUCCAUCCUCCAGAGGUCAUCUGGGAGCAUGGUCGGUUGGGCUGCUCUGCUGAUUGCCUGCACCUGUUUCUCAUCAGGUCAAGACUACUAGGAGUUGGCUGCCAGCACUUCAAUGCCAGAAUAUUAAUCUUAAGUGGUACUUGUGGCCCUCUUGACUUCUUGCAUUGUUUUCCCUGGUUUC
Molecule: long non-coding RNA, 647 nt
Organism: Cyprinodon tularosa
Lineage: Eukaryota; Metazoa; Chordata; Actinopteri; Cyprinodontiformes; Cyprinodontidae
Exons: 3
Source: RefSeq, a predicted model, not a curated record